Molecule: ribosomal RNA, 1215 nt
Filed under: Triticum aestivum (bread wheat)
Lineage: Eukaryota; Viridiplantae; Streptophyta; Magnoliopsida; Poales; Poaceae
Description: partial small subunit ribosomal RNA
Source: RNAcentral
AUGGAUCAUCAAAUCCCCAAGGGUUUUAAACCCGUAAACAUUGAAUCAUAUGAUGGCACAACAGAUCCCACGGUAUGGAUCGAGGGUUAUCUCCUUCAUAUUCACAUGGCCCGUGGUGAUGAUCUACACGCUAUCAAAUACCUCCCGCUCAAGCUUAAAGGACCAGCUCGGCAUUGGCUUAAUAGCCUACCAGCAGAGUCAAUUAGUUGUUGGGAGGACCUGGAAUCCGCGUUCCUGGAAAACUUCCAAGGCACUUAUGUGCGACAACCAGACGCCGAUGACCUCAGCCACAUAAUCCAGCAGCCAGAGGAAUCGGCCAGACAAUUCUGGACACGGUUCCUAACCAAGAAGAAUCAAAUAGUCGACUGUCCGGACGCCGAGGCCCUUGCAGCCUUCAGGCACAACAUCCGAGACGAAUGGCUCGCCCAGCACCUAGAACAGGAAAAGCCGAAAUCUAUGGCAGCCCUCAUGACACUCAUGACCCGCUUUUGCGCGGGUGAAGACAGCUGGCUAGCUCGUAGCAAUAACAUAACUAAGAGCCCUGGCAAUUCAGAUACCAAGGACAAUAACGGCAGGUCACGUCGCAACAAACACAAGCGCCGCAUUAACAGCGACAACACUGAGGAUACGGCAGUUAAUGCCGGAUUCAGAGGCUCUAAACCCGGUCAGCGGAAGAAGCCAUUCAAAAGAAACCCUCCGGGCCCAUCCAGUUUAGACCGGAUACUCGAUCGCUCGUGCCAGAUACACGGCACCCCCGAACAACCAGCCAACCACACCAACAUGGAUUGUUGGGUGUUCAAGCAGGCAGGCAAGUUAAGUGCCGAAAUCAGAGACAAGGGGCUGCAUAGCGAUGACGAGGAGGGGCCCCGGCCACCGAACAACAGAGCACAGAAGGGUUUCCACCCGCAAGUGCGAACGGUGAACAUGAUAUACGCAACCCAUAUCCCCAAAAGGGAGCGGCAACGUGCUCUCAAGGACGUCUAUGCGUUGGAGCCGGUCGUUCUCAAGUUCAACCCAUGGUCCUCCCGCCCGAUCACUUUUGAUCAAAGGGACCACCCCACUAGCAUCCGUCACGGCGGAUUCGCCGCAUUGGUCCUAGACACAAUCAUUGACGGAUUUCACCUCACUAGAGUCCUCAUGGAUGGCGGCAGCAGCCUGAACCUGCUGUAUCAGGAUACAGUGCGGAAAAUGGGCAUAGAUCCCUCAAGGAUUUAA